CCUGCCCACUGAAAUUUUUGAAUGGCCGCAGUAAUUUGACUGUGCAAAGGUAGCAUAAUCAUUAGAUUUUUAAUUAAAAGCUUGUAUGAAUGGUUGGACGAGGUAAAUUCUGUCUUUAUUUAAAUAAUAUUAGAAUUUAAUUUUUAAGUUAAAAAGCUUAAAUAAAUGUAAAAGACGAGAAGACCCUAUAGAUCUUUAUAUUAUUAUUUUAUAAUUUUAAUAAAGAAUUUUUAAUUUUUUAUAUUUUAUAAUAUUUUAUUGGGGUAAUAAAAAGAUUUAAUAAAUUCUUUUUUAUAUUUUACAUUAAUUUAUGAAUGUAUGAUCCAAAAUUUUUGAUUAUAAGAUUAAGUUACCUUAGGGAUAACAGCGUAAUUUUUUUAGAGAGUUCAUAUCGAUAAAAAAGUUUGCGACCUCGAUGUUGGAUUAAAAAUUGUUUUAGGCGCAGAAGUUUAAAAAUUUGGUCUGUUCGACCAUUAAAUUUUUACAUGAUCUGAGUUCAGACCGGUGUAAGCCAGGUCGGUUUCUAUCUUUAUUAUUUUAUAAUAUUUUAGUACGAAAGGACCAAAUAUUUAAUAUAUUAAUAUUUUUAUUUUUGAAUAUUAUU
Molecule: ribosomal RNA, 604 nt
Filed under: Papuadytes sp. MB170
Lineage: Eukaryota; Metazoa; Arthropoda; Insecta; Coleoptera; Dytiscidae
Description: partial 16S ribosomal RNA
Rfam family: Bacterial large subunit ribosomal RNA (bases 360-518)
Source: RNAcentral